GCCGGGCAUGGCGGUGCACGCCUGUGGUCCCAGCUACUUGGGAGGCUGGGGUGGGAGGAUUGUUUGAGCCCAGGAUGUUGAGGCUGCAGUGAGCUGUGAUCACACAGCUGUACUCCAGCCUGGGCGACAGAGCAAGACCCUGCCUCUU
RNAcentral lists this small RNA (148 nucleotides) under Pongo abelii (Sumatran orangutan). RNAcentral describes it as "Metazoan signal recognition particle RNA (ENSPPYG00000035861.1)". The record is from Rfam by way of RNAcentral. Lineage: Eukaryota; Metazoa; Chordata; Mammalia; Primates; Hominidae.